GGGGGUCGCGGUGGUUGUCGCCUACUUCUUUCAACUCCUACACUGCCCACGACGUGCAGUUGGUUCAAGGAGGCAACAACAACCAAACUCCCUGUAGGUACUCUGCCAAGGUAUGGAUAAUGCCUGUUUGCCACACACACAUGCGAGUUAACUAGACACAUAUGAAAUUAUCUUCAGCUAUUGUAUUUCAAGAUCAUUUUGCCUUCCUAUUUGUUUAGUACGAGCUUUUGAUGUCUCUGAUUGCUCUAAUGGUUUCUGUAAAUAGAUAUUACUCUUAUAUGUCAAAACUGUCUUGAAGACGUAGAAAUAGAUGAUGUGCUACUACAUUUACAAAUUUUGCAUGUGGUUGGUCGACAAUUCUAUUAGUUGAGAAUGACUCUACAAUAAUGUGGCUAACUGGUUGCAAGUUAAUUUGUUUCUUUUCACCCAAAAUUAUAAUCUUUACAAACAAUCCAGUUAUGUUUUGCCUCUGUAUGUUCCACUAUUUUAGAGUGACAUUUCCUUUUUUCGUGGGUAUUUAUUUUGGCAUCUCAUAUUUCUGAUAGCUCUAGAACUGAAUAGUGUUUGUGUUUUUCUGAAACUGAAGCCGUUUGUUUUCUCCGGCUUCCAAGGAUGGUUGCUAUGUAAUACAAGUGCAACUUUAUGAAAUCACGAUCCACUAAUGACUUACAAACCAAUUAUUUUGUAUCUAAGUAAGCCAUAAUUUCAUAUAUUUACUUGCUUCUUGCAUGGUUAAAAGGGCAAGCUUGGCAGCUGAGAACAAAUGUGCAUGUGAAUUCUUUGCCUGUUAGAGGUUGCUAACCAUUUUCUGCCAGCUUUAUCUAUCAUUUAACAAUAUCCUCAUCAAGAUGCCAUGCAGUAUAUUUAAUUGUUCAGAGCUUAUGUCAUGCCUCGGUACCUGAUGAAUACUACCACACUCGACAAACAGUUAUCCAAGGGACUAGAGCUAGAGGCCUUUGGGAGUUACAUUUAGAAUGGGAGGCGGGGUUUAUUUAAUCCUUUUUCAUUUCCUUUUACCACUGCUAUGUUCUGUCUGGUUUAACUAAUGAGUGUAACACCUAUACAAGCUAGAAGACGUGUGUGAGUCAUUCAUUUAUUUUUGAACUGAGAAUAUUCAUGUAACUAUCUACAUGUAUAUGCAAUGUUCAUAUGCGAGUUUACAUCCAGGCCUUCCUUUUCACUAAUGUUCACUAAAUGUGAUUUAGGCAUGAUUGUUUCGAGGCAA
Non-coding RNA from Lolium perenne, 1225 nucleotides. Lineage: Eukaryota; Viridiplantae; Streptophyta; Magnoliopsida; Poales; Poaceae. The record is from RefSeq and is a predicted model, not a curated record.